This 496-nucleotide ribosomal RNA is filed under the name uncultured bacterium. RNAcentral's name for it is "partial 16S ribosomal RNA". It matches the Rfam family "Bacterial small subunit ribosomal RNA", at positions 28 to 506 of the family's 1533-position model. The record is from RNAcentral.
GAUGAACGCUGGCGGCGUGCCUAAUACAUGCAAGUCGAGCGAACAGACGAGGAGCUUGCUCCUCUGACGUUAGCGGCGGACGGGUGAGUAACACGUGGAUAACCUACCUAUAAGACUGGGAUAACUUCGGGAAACCGGAGCUAAUACCGGAUAACAUGUUGAACCGCAUGGUUCAACAGUGAAAGACGGUCUUGCUGUCACUUAUAGAUGGAUCCGCGCCGCAUUAGCUAGUUGGUAAGGUAACGGCUUACCAAGGCAACGAUGCGUAGCCGACCUGAGAGGGGGAUCGGCCACACUGGAACUGAGACCCGGUCCAGCCCCCUACGGGAGGCAGCAGUAGGGAAUCUUCCGCAAGGGGCGAAAGCCUGACGGAGCAACGCCGCGGGAGUGAAGAAGGCUUUCGGAUCGUAAAACUCUGUUAUUAGGGAAGAAAAAAUGUGUAAGUAACGAUGCACGUCUUGACGGUACCUAAUCAGAAAGCCCCGGCUAACUACGG